UGCCAGCUAGCCGUUGUGCGUGUGUGCUCCUGUUCACGUGGGCAUAUUCGUUGCCCCCUCCCACAGGUUCCUUCACACACUCAAUAUAAGACUUGUCCAGGCAUCCUUCAUUGUGCUCCCCACCCCCUCCCUCUUCUUCCUCGCUGGCGAGUCGCCCGACGGUGAGACGUUCAGUGACGUUGUCGGACGACCCCUAGGCCGGAAGUCACGGAGUGACCCCCCUCCCUUUCCACACACACACACACACACGCACACACGCCCGCCUGUCCCGUUCAAACACAUCAAAAGCCAAGCGAAAAAGAGAGAGUACGGUCCGUUAGCAGGCAGCUCGUAACUGCCCCACUGGACACACGGUGCAUACGCACAUCUCACUCGUGUCUCUCGACCCCUCUCCGUAUCAUCUCUCGCUCGCUCUCCCACUUUUUUGUCUGGUUUUCCGCAUUUCGGUUUGGCUGUAGACACGCGAAGAGCACCACACGUUGUUGGCUGUUGCUGCGCCGGGGGUGAAGAAGCAGACAGAAGCAUUGGCCAUCUUCAUCCAUCCGUCUCCUCAUCAGCGACACUGUCGCUGCAAUCUUCUUUUUCCUGUUGCCUUUUCCCACCUGCGAAACAUCUCUCACUCUGUGCGUGCGUGCGUCUUUGUGGAGCUGUCCGCCCUUUAUUCAUUGACUACCUUUCUUAUCGCUUAGUCUGUUUUGCAGAAAAGAAAUCAUAGAUAGAUCCUGCCCCCUUCUCCCCUCCCCACCCCCACGCCAUCGUGCCUCCUCCGUUGCCGUCCGUCCGUCCGUCCGUCCGCCGCUCCCUCAUUUUUCUUUUCCUUCACAAGAAGCCGAGACGUCAAAGACGUGACUCACGCACACAAGGCAGUCUACAGGGCAGUACCACCGCACAACACAGAGUCGGACAGCAAGUUCUUUUGCCUACAAGAGACAUACUCAUCAAGCGCAUACACGCAGACGGACACACACGCACACGUAUAUGCGUGCGUAGACACAUUCCAACAACAAAGAAGGAAGGUACGUGCGCGCACCAGCUUCCUUUCUCGUUGCUGCCCCCUCCUCCCUUUUCACCCCGCCCGUUUCUAUUCUUCCCACUCUCCCACUCCCCAGCACACACGUGCAGGCCCCUUUCCCCAUCCUACGUCUGCCGUUGAAGCUCUGGAGAGGAGUUGCUGCGCAGCAGCCGUAUUUUAUUCGCUUUUCUCUUCUGUUCCGUUGCCGUUGCUGUGUGUGCGUGUCUGCUUCCGCAUAUCUUUAUAUAUAUCUGUCCGCUUCUCCAUUUGGGCUUCUUUUAAAGAGAGGCCACCUCCAGAGAAUCUAGCCAAGCAAUCAGGGGGCCUCUCCAAGACUGCCUCCCUCCUUCCCUCCCAGCUCUCUCUCUCGCCGUCUCUGUCGUUGUGUGUGCGAGAGAGAACCCGAAAGGAAGAACAGAAGACAUAUAUAUAUAUAUAUAUAUAGUUUUUCUUUUGACUCGAAAACCAACCGAACACGAACACGAACACGUACACACAAACCCCCUCCCCCCCAAACCUCCCCAGAGCAUCACGUGUGCGCUGUGUAGUGCUGCCUUGACGUCGCCGCCUUUCUUUCGAAGUCUUCUUUUGCCUCACACACAGUUGCGUGUGCCGCCGCUGCUCACAGAAGCGUCCCACAUUUGCCUUUUACGCUUUUCUUUGUAUUCCUCUCCCCGCCUGCAUCCAUCCAGGAACGCCACCCAAGCAGCGCCUUCACAGCCACGCACGCACGCACGGAGACGCACACAUAAGUGUAUUGCGUGUGCGUGUGUGUAUGUGUGUGUGUGUGUGUUGGAGGCGGGUUGUUGCCGUUCACAUUUCUUUUUUUUUUUGUUGUUAUUUCCUGAAGGAGCCUCUCUUUCUUUCCUUAUAUACCCAUACAUAUAUACAUAUACAUACAUAUAUACCUAUUGUAUGUAUAUGUAUAUAUGUAUGCAUGUGUAUAUGUAUGGGUAUAUUUGAUAUUCUCUUUUCUCGCACCUUUUUUUGUUGUUGCUCUGCCGCAGUCCGCACCGUCUCCCCUCCGUCUCCCCUCCGUCUCCCGCUCUUCUCGUUUCGAUUUCUUUUUCCCCCCUUUUACGCGAGGCACUCUUUUCCUUUUAUUUUUAUGCGUGCCUUCACGUUUUUUUUUUAUUACUUUUUUAGUUUUGUUCUCUUCCUCCUCCUGGCCGUCUUCCCCUUUUUGUCUCCUCCCUUCGCGUGCGUGUGUGUGCCGGUGUGCAAUCUUCAUCGUCUUGGUUCCUUUCUUUUUUGUUUCCUUGCGUUGGACUCUCUCUCCCUCUCCCUCUCGCGAUCUGUGACGAAGGCGCAACUGCGAGAGUGUCUUCCACGCACGCGCAUACACACAACGAGCACGUGACCAUACCCCUCCCCCUUCUUGGCACGGCACGACCGGAGGUGUCCGUAAGUGCGCAAACAGCAGCAGCAACUAUACACAGAGAAGCGACAGGCGAUCUUCGCCGAAGCGGUGACGUGAGCGCAUCUUCGGGUCAGCUGAGAUACCCAGUCCCACACAAUCACGCACGCAUCCGUCAUGGCGCCGCGGCAGCAACUUCGCGCCGCUGCGCUUUUUGGUGUGCUCCUCAUCACCGGCGUGGCGUGCGUCGGCGUCACCGGCGUCCAUGCCAGCUCCGAUGCGGUGGUACAGACAACCCCGACAUACCCGCUGCUGGAUGUUGUCUUUCUCGCCACCACCUCCAUGGACCCUGACAGGACGCUGUACAUAUCCUCUGCAAGCAACUGCAGCAGUCGAGUCUCGCCGAUCUGCACGCUGGGCCGCACUCAAGUCGGUGUAAACUACAACAGCUCAACGUGCAUCUUCAACGUCACGUCCGCCUCUCUCGGCUUGAAUGCGGCGACAGCGUCGUCGAUACCUGCGCUUCACUGGUGCAGCAGCGCCACCGGCACCACGCCCUUUGCGACGCUGCAGAUGAACGCGGUUCGCAUGACACCCGGCUACGCCUAUUACAGUGCGGACACGACCUUCACCUUCAACCAAGCGACCCCGGUUGGCGCCAAGGUAGGGCUGUACCGGGAAAGCAGCUGUGACACACUGCUGAAUGGCCUGCCGUUGACGACGCUGCAGAGCUCGCGCGAGCUGACAGCGAGCAUCGGUCCCCGCACUGUCACGUACGUGUGUGCGUCCAUUCCAACCGUCUUCAACAACGCCACCGUCAUUGCAGUGCGCUCGGUAGUUUACGGCGUGUCUCCCUAUGACAUAUACACCACCCAGGGCAUCCGCCAUCGCAGCGUCGUCAUCAGCGCCUCAUCGUCCUUCCACUACAUGUCACUCUCAACUGACCCGCAGUGCCUGACACUGGCGCAGCCAUAUCAGCAGACGGAGACGGGCGACGGGGUACUGACCAUCAAGGUGCCGCGCGGCACGUACUACUUCUGCGGUGUCGUCAUCCGCGGCCUCGAAGGGGUCGGCGUGUUUGUGCCGGCUCUUAGCACGUUCAAGGUGCUCGAGUAUGGCAUUCAGCCGCACACCAUGUACGCGGCGCGCGCCACUCCGAUGUCCUUCUCACUGGACGCUGUCGCUGUGCAGAGCAAGCUGCAGGGCGCCCUUUUUACCACCGCCAACUGCGGUGUGAGCGGCAGCAAGCCGGUGACAAGCUGGAGCGCGUCAAUGACGUGGACGGUGGGUGUUGCCGGCACCUACUACGCCUGCGUACGCACAAGUGGCAGCACCCUAGCCGCCGACGUGGGCUACGUCAAUCAGGUGGUGGUCUCCAACAUCCCUGCGGUGUCUCUCGCUCGCCAGCCGGCCAUCAGUGGUCUCGGCGAGCUGGCUACAGUGACGCGCAGCGCCCUCGACGACGUCCCCGCAGCUGUGGUGACAGUCGGGCUGUCGACUAGCUCGAGCUGCGCUACUCUCUUUGCCGGGGGUAGCACAACGGAGACGGGGAGUACGGCCUCUUUUUAUGUGCCUGAGAACUCGCCAAGCAGCACCUUCUAUUGCGUGUCGAACCGACUCACGACGGACGCGAGCGGCGGUGACAGCAGUGAGCCCACCAAGGCGGUCUACUACCCGCUUGGACCGCUGGAGCUGCGCACCUACGGCCUGACCUACCCUGCCCUACGCACCCAGGCGACGAUGAAGGUGGGACUCGACAGCGACGUUGUCUUCGGCAGCGGCACCUCCAUUUGUCUGACACCUGCUCUUCUCCCCAGCAGCAGCAGCAGCAGCAGCACUACCAGCAUUAGCAGCAGCACUAGCAGCAUUAGCAGCAGCUUCGUUGACCAUGACACCUGCGACACCGCGAUCGCCGCUAACAGCGACAUCGCCAUGACAUUCCAGCUCUCCAGUCUAACCUCCAUACUCACCCCCGUGCUAUUCCCAGUAGCAGGAAGUUGGUUGCUCUGCGUGCGGGAGCCUGGCGUGAUGGGCAGCGCGUACGUGCGGCUGCGCACGCUGCGCGUGUACGGCAACGCCACUGUGACCCCAGACGGCGUUAUACCGGGGAUACCAGCAAGGCUCGCCGUCACAGCGAUUCCGCCGUCGACGACGGUGAGCCUGACGACGGACAUCGCCUGCUCGAUCAACAUGCCAGUGGUGACCACGACGCAGUCGAGCCUGACUGGCACGGCUGCCCUCGUCUUCACACACAUGGCCCUGGGCAACCUCCUUCUCUGCGUUGGCUACCAUGGCGAGCACAUGUCUCAGGGGACGGCACCGGAGCUGAUGGUGGCUGGCACCGUGGCGAGCACGAAUGCCCGCGUCGUGCCACCCCUGGCUGUCGAUUCCGUGCCCACGCAGCUGACUUUUUCCGCCCGAGGCGCUUCGUCACUGAGCGGCUACACCGCGCUGCUGGUGCCGCCAAGCACCAGCGGCCGCGUUGCGACCACGUGUCCAACAUCCGCGACCGCUGAACUUAUUCAGCUACCAAUAUCCGUGCCUCCCUCCGCUACUACCGGCGCGAUCGCCGUUGCCACCUUCACUCCUGCCAGCAGCACGGUGGGCACCGCGUAUCUCGUGUGUGCUGGUGCAGCUGGAAAAUUUAUUUCAACCGGGACGGUGACGGUAGCUGCUGCUCCAGCCAUGACGACUGAUCCCUCGCCGCCCGCCUUUGGACUCCCAGCCCAUGUGACUUUCAGCAGUGCCAUUAUGUCCCUCUCUCACGCGGACACCUUCACUGCUAUCAAAGCCACGGACAGCUGUACCUCGGAUAUGAGCAUCGCAACCGUGUUCGCCACAGGGAGCGUGGACACCGCAACAGGGGCCGCCCAGCCCUUUGUGGUCCCCACGCUGCCUAGCACGGUCACGUCGGUGCGGCUGUGCGUGGCGAAGAAGGUCCAACUCGUCGGCAGCACGCUCGGCUACGCAGACGCAGGCGUCAUUGAACUAAACACCUUCACCUCCAUCACUAGGUACGCGCAGCAGGGGCGACCCAACACGCUGGUUGGCAAACCGCUCCUCAGCACCGCGACGCUCUACCUUGUCAGCUGCACCGGAGCUGGAUGUGGCGCCAGCAACGCCGACAUCGCGUGCUCUUCUACCGACGCCACCAAGUACACCACUUCCAGCCACUCACCCCUCACAGCUCCCGCGGGCACGUACUUCCUGUGCCAGCGCGUGACGGUGGGCACGGUGGUGUCGGUGGUGGGCUCGAACACGACGGUGGAGGUGGUGGAGCCGUUUAAGAUGCGCCUCUCCGUAGACCCCUCUGCCAUUCGCGCGUACGUGCCGUUCGCAGUGACCAUGUCGGGCGGCCCUGGCGGCGCGGGGGCGAAGUACACGGUGGUGGCGCAGCCCGCCUCUACUCCGUGCGGCAAGACGGCUGCCGAGUCACAGCGCUUUACCAUGGGCAGAGACACCACGGACAUCACCAUCACGGACAUCGUGCCGAUGCAAAACAUCUGCUUCUGCGUGCAACCGUCCUCUGCCGACAGCUUCGAGGUGCUGACGGGCACGCUGCGGCACUACAUGACGCCUGCAGCUGUGAUCGGCGACCGCGCGACGACGCUGACGUCUGGCGGUGUGAUUAGGGGCGCCACGGCGGUGCUGUCGCGCACGGCGGACUGCCUCAGCGUCGUGGCUGGCGGCGGCGCUGCGCCGAUUGUGGACGCGAGGGUGACGUUCACUGUCACGUCGUGCGGCGCGAACGGAGCGCUGGCGUCGCUGUACUACUGCGAGGCUGCUAGCGGGGGUGCGUACGCGUCCCGCGGUGCGGUGGGACUGCUGCGCGCGAGCGGGUGCAGCGGCGGCGCGGAUGCGAGCAUUGCCGAGGUGAACGCGGCGCCUGGCGCUGCGAUCGGCAGCUUCGGGAUCGACGCCGCGUACCUGGCGAGGCCGCGGCUGUCUGCGUCGCCGGACUGCGGCGUGCUGCUGGACGCAGCUGUUGCGAGCGUUGGGUACGCGCCCGGGGCUGGCGAGCGCGCUGCGUUCCACGUGUGCGCCGUGCUUGUGGGCGACGCGAGCGUGACGUUCACGACGGCGCGCCCGACGCUGCGCGUUGCGAACUGGGCCGUGACGCCGACUGCUGCUGUGAGCCGGUACAACGCGACGCUUGGCGCUGCUGCUGCUACUGCGGUGCGCGUGAACUACGCGACGCCGUCGAGCGAGACGUUCCUGAGCACUGCGAGCGACUGCAGCGUGCGGACGGCGAGCGCGGCGGGGCUGAGCGGGGCGUCGAAGGCGGCGACGUACAGCACGACCGGCGUGCGCGGGCUUGUGCACGUGUGCACUGUUGCGCCGCUGAGCGGGAAGACGCUGGCGGUUGCGCAGUUCCUGUCCGUGACGCCGCCUGCUGUGCUGCGUGUGUCGCCGGCUGUUGUGCGCGGCGGCGAGUACAGCGCGACGCUUGUGGUGGACGGUGCGCCGCCGCUGUACUCGAUGGUGCCUGGCGCGGACAGCGGGUACACGCACAGUGACUACUACACGAGCGCGAGCCGCGAGGUGUACCUGUCCGGGGACGCGUGCUCGGGCGUGCUUGCGGGGACGAGCGCGGCGACGGUGACGUCGAGCGGCAGCGUGUCGUUUGCGACGGCGGGCGUUGCGGCGAGCGUGAGCGCUGUGUGGCUGUGCGCGGUGACGGCUGCGGGGCCCGCGGUUGUGCUGGCUGGCGUGGCUGUUGCGCCCGGCAGGGUGCACCCGACGACAAUGGUGUCGGGCGCACUGGGUGCGCCUGUCUUCAUACCGAGCCUGAAGGGCACGGCGGUGCAGCUGAGCGCGUCUGCGAGCGGGUGCGGGUCUGUUGCUGGGAUGCCGAGCUUCACAACGGACGCGGAGGGCUACGGCGCUGUGGACCUUGUGGGCGGCGACGGCGGCGCGCUUGCGCCGGGCACGUACACGCUGUGCUACGGCGGUGCGCCGCGUGGCGGUGCUGCGGCGCUGGAGUCGGUGGAGCUUGUGCGCGCGUCGUACUUCGACGUGCGCGGGACGACGUUUGUUGUCGGCGUGGCGAGCCGGAUGCCGCUGCUGCAGGACCUGACUGCUGCGGCGCUUGUGCCCGGGUUCAGCACCGCGCGCGACUGCACGUCUGUGUCGAGUGAGCACGGCGAGUGGGCUGCUGUGACGAGCACGUCUGUGUCUGUGACUGCGACGAGCGUGUACACUGCUGGGCUGUACCUGUGCGCGCGUGCGCCGGUGAACGGGACGCUUGUGGCGCUGCCCGGGCGGUGGUCUGGGGCGCGGAGCGUGCAGUUCGUUGCGUCUGCGAUGCAGCUGCCGUCUGCUGGGUGGGACGCGUGCACGACGUACACGCUGGACCAGUGCUACCCGCCGGGUGCGAGCGCGAGCGGUGCGACGUCGGUGGUUGCUGUUGUGCACGGGGACUGCUGCAGCGAGUCGAGCCGGAGCGCGGUUGUCGGGGAGGCGAGCAUGGCGAGCGGGACGUGCGAGCUGACGCUGGACUACGACAAGGUGUCCGCGUACCCCGCGGGAUCGACGUACCACGUGUGCGUGUGGGACAGCGCGGACGACUCUGUGUGCACGACCGUGAGCGAGGCGCGCGUGAGCACGAACUGCACGCGCGGUGGCGGCGGUGGCCGGGGGCUGAGCCGUGGAACACUGAUAGCGAUCAUUGUCGUGUGCGUGGUGGUGGGAACAACUUUUCUUUGUUUGCUUUUGUGGACCGUGUGGUGCUGCUGCUGCCGCCGCAAGGCGGCUGAGGGCGCUUAUACGAGGCCAGAGAAGGGGCGGCAACUCGUUGGUUUUCACGAGUUCGGUGACGAAGACCGUCUUGUGGGCUAUGUUAUGAGUGGACGCCACCCGCUGCUGUACUACCCGUCCUCAAGCGUCCGCAUGGACCGUUCGGUGAGCGCAUCGCUAGGCUACCCUUCCAUCAGCGGCUCAGGUCGCAGUGCCUUGGAAGAGGUGGAGGAUGAGGGACGCGACCAGAUUGCGCUUCAGGAGGCGCGGGAACGCUACAACUUACGACUAACGUUCGCGGAGCGGCUGCAGCUGCUCGAACUGGCGGAAAAGAACGCCGCUGCAGAUGCGGCAGGCAUGAACACGACGUACGCCAGCGGGGACUCGUACCUGCACGGAGUAGCACAGCCCGAGCGCGGGCGCGUGGAGAGCAUCUUGACCGAGGGGGGGCCGAGGGAGCUUGAGAUGGAUCUCCCUGUGAGUGCCGCGGCCCCGCGCCACGCCGGCGCCAACGAACUCGAGUUCGCGGCCUUUGAGGUACCUGAGGAGCGCGACAUCAGCUUGACCGCCGACGCGAAUGUGUCGCUGGAGAUGGAUCCCAUCACGGGUGAGUACCAGAAGGUGCGUAGCCGAUCCAUUGAAAGCGCGCCGCGGCGGUGCCUCUCACCGGUGGAGAGCUGCUGGACAAACGAAGACUUCGAAGAGCGGGAGGAGGAGGAGAGCGACCGGAAGAUUGCCGUCGAGGCGGCAAUUCCCGACUCGGAGCUGAGUGUGUGGAGGUGGCCACGGCAGGCCGGUGGCGACCAUGAGGAGCCGCGACGCGUAGUUGUGCGGCAUUUUGCGAAACCGACAUCGUCCAAGUCGCGCCGUAGUGCCUCACUGAACCGCAGCGGCAGCGGCGGCCGCCGACGUAGCCCCACCGGCUCCGGGAGCGACGACAGAAAGCAGCAGCCACACUAUGACCCACUUGCAGUGAUGCCGGUGACGCCAAAGGCGCUGCCAACGUCCAAGGGCCUCACGAACUACAUCCUGUCGCUGCCAGACGGGGAGAAUGAUAGCCCGCCAGACCUUCGGACUAACACCGCGCACGAAGUCGGUGACACCAACACUGCCGAGUCCGCCAUCUUCUCUCGCUCCCCGAUCACCCAUGCGGGGACAAACGACAUCUCAGAGGAGGCGCUGCCGGUGGGCGUUGCACGCGUCCGGUCUUCCGAGGCCAUCGCUGGCAAAGUCAACAGCGAUGAGAGCGAGGAUGACCUGCUUAGCUUCACGACCACGCAGCGCUUCUACGACGAGAAGCGCUUCUUACGGGAGCAGGAAGACGGCAGGCGUCAGCGUCUGUGCAACUGGGAGGAGGAGGAGCGGGCACAGCUGGCGCAGGAUGAGCUGAACGGUUACAUGGCGCUCUCCUCGGCUACCGCAGCCGGCGGUAAUACUGCUAACGCGUCCUCUGAUCACUCGGAGAACAACGACACCGAGUACAAUGCCGGCGGCGGCGUGGGAAAAGGCCACUACGGCAAGGCUACGGCGAAGCAAGAGGGCGAGGAUGAGCAGGCGUACCACAUCCCCGCUGCUCCAACGACGCUGCCGUCGCUGCCACCGGCCCCACGCCCGCAAACAUUUCAGAACGACUACUAUCACGUAGUCCCCACCGGCGGCACCGGCGCGAGUUAGGUAGGAAGCGACACACACUUGUGUAGGUGUACCUGCUCGUGUCUCUGCUUCUCUAUAUAUGAGGGUGUGCCCGCUUCAUCGCUCGAUCGCGACCUCUGGCUUUCACAUGAUCCCCCCAUCUCCGUCCGUCCUUGACAACCAACCGCACAUGCACCCCCAUCCCCGGAUGGACAUCAGUGUCUUCCCCUCGAGCCGGGUGCGUUUUGGCUGCCGCCACUGAAGGGCCGCAGCUGCCUCGGAGUCACUGAGGCGCUCUCUCGUUCGCCUUUUUCGUUUUUCAAUUCAUUGUGUGUGUUUGCCUUUGUGUCUUCCCUGCAUUUUCUACUCUGUGGUGUGCGCGUUACCGGCCGUAAGUGGGGAUACGUAUAUAUUCAUCUGUUCCAUCUCUCGUACUGCUGCUCCCUCUUCGUCCACGGCGUGGUGUUUGCCAGACGCCCCCUCCUCUUGCGUUGUGCUGCCCUGGUCUCGUUUUCUUCGCCUUGCGUUGUUGCUGUUUUGUGUGUUGGUGUUGGCCGUGUGGCGUUGCUCUCCUUCCUUUUAUAGUUCUUCGUCUUAGGCGCGUGCUGGAGUUCGACCCCCACCUCCCCACCCAGAAAACAACGCGUGACGUUGAAUGUCUCUCUGCCACCUCUGCUCGACCAACAACCACACGCACACGCGCAUCAACACGCAAGAAGAGCGAUCACGUCGGGGAAAGAGGGGGGGGGAGGUGAAGCAGGCACACAGCGAGGGAGACACAGACUCUGAAGUGCACACGCACACACACACGAAAAAAGGACACAGUGAUACACCGCAUUUUGCUAUCAGACUCCCUCUAAUAUCUCUCUCUAUAUAUGUAUACGCAUGUGCGCGUCUGUGCAUCUGGCUCGUGUGUGUGUGUGUGUGCGUGCCGCUCACGCAAUGGCACCAUAUCCUUUUUUUUUGUUGUUCUCGUCGUGUUUUGAGGCGCUUUCAUUUUCUUUCUGACUUCGGAAACAUAUAUCUCGCGCUCCGCCGCCCCCUCCUCCUCCUCCUCCCCUUCCCUCGCCCGCCUUUGCUUUCUGUUUUCUGUUCUCUCUCUCGCUCUCUUCGUCCUUCUUGCUUGUUCGAGGGAUGGGAGGAGGGAGGAAGGGAGGGGGCCCAUUAGAUGCACAACCCCUACAUAGAGGCUUGCCUGAUUCCCCAUCGCCCCGCCCCGCCCCUCCCCUCCCUAACCAACCUUUCACGACUUUCUUUGUUUUUUUUUUUUACUUCCAUGGCUGUGCGUCUCCUCCUUUGCGAGUGUGCACGCUCUCAGAACUCACGGACCCACACUCACACAUCCACACACAGCCACAGACGCACAUGUCAGCAUGAGAAUAACACCAAAAGGCAGAGCGCCUGUUUUCCUGUGCUCUUUUACGUUUGGAUUUGUGUGCUGGGCCAGGGCAGGAGCGAGCGUGGCGUGGUGCUUGUCGCCGUCGCCUCACCCCUCUACCAAGAACGUUCGUUUCUCUCCUCCCUCUCUCUCUGUCGUGGCGAGUCGCUCCCCAAUCCGUCACCCCCACCCCCUCCACGUCACUGCACCGCUGUUUUCUUCUUCUUUUGAUAUUCGUUCUGCGUUUCAGGCUUCGCCAGCUGGAGAGAUGAGACGAAUCUGCCGUCGCUGUCCUGAUGAAUACCACACGCACGCGCUCAGAUGUGCGCGUGCGUGCCCUAUCCACCGAGCGCAACGACGUCACCGCGAUAUGAAGCCCGUGUGCACACCACCGUCGCCGCGGCGAGUCGAAGCAGCGGCUGAUGCCACACAUAAACACGCACACCCUGGGUGCAAGAGGAAUGUUCUCUCUCUCUAUAAGUAAAAGCUAACGUUUCUUGUAUGCAUGAGCGUUUCGACUCUUGCAGACAUCUCACUCGAUAGCAGCGCGCACACAUCUGCAGACUACAUGUACACACGUGCACAGAUCAUGUGUACAUGCUUGUAUGCCCGUGUGCAUGUGCUGGUGCCAUUUAGGUGACGUUCUUAUUCUUCGUUGUUUCUCUUAGAUGCAGACCGACGCCGCUUCCCACCUCCGUGUGUCUCGCCCCCCUGCCUCUUCGUUGUCGCCUUCUCUCCCUGUGCAUGGCUUUGUGCGCGCUUGUGUGCGUGCGCAUGAGCGCUUGGAGAUAAACAACGAAACGCGAAGCACCGCCGUAUCUGCUUUCCCCGUUUUCGUUAUGCGUGCUCUAAGUCUCGCUUGCUUUCACUACCACAGCAACGUGCGCGCCGCUGUUUACGCCACUCACUCACGCAGGCAAACCCACCCUCACACACGCCAAGCAGCUCUCCAUGUAUGGAUGAUGCAUGCGGGUGGUGUGCGCAGACGCCUCUUCAUGUUUGCGUGGCCUCUUUUUUUUUUGGUUGUCUUGUAAGCGUUGCCUCUGUGCGCAUGCGCGCUCAAGCGAAUGUGUGCGUAUGUAGCGUGACCUGCAAACUUGUGCCUCGAUACGAUUGCUCGAGCGCUUUCCAACGUUGGUGCGCACACACAUGCACACACACACACACAGGGGGAGCGAAGGAAGUUCAACAGAAAAGCGAAGAACGCAACAUGGGAAAGGGGGCCACCAAUCGCAGAACGAUGCAAGUCGCCUAUGUUUUCUUUGUUGUUUGUUGGCUCGCGUUCGACCAAGCGUCUCUUCGCCACCGUUCGCGACCUAUGCAUCCCUUCAUUUUCUUCCCUCGUGACUGCCUCCCUCCUCCAUUCGUGGGAUGCGCAGCGCUGAAACAAACACGCAAACAUACACACACACACAUCGAAAAAACAAAAACAAAAAAA
RNAcentral lists this unclassified non-coding RNA (12553 nucleotides) under Leishmania donovani. RNAcentral describes it as "gene:LdHU3.07.1130(CDS-product:hypothetical_prote in_conserved)". The record is from RNAcentral. Lineage: Eukaryota; Euglenozoa; Kinetoplastea; Trypanosomatida; Trypanosomatidae.